This 541-nucleotide ribosomal RNA is filed under the name uncultured bacterium. RNAcentral describes it as "bacterial SSU rRNA". It matches the Rfam family "Bacterial small subunit ribosomal RNA", at positions 355 to 896 of the family's 1533-position model. The record is from RNAcentral.
UGAGGAAUAUUGGUCAAUGGUCGGAAGACUGAACCAGCCAAGUAGCGUGAAGGAUGAAGGUUCUAUGGAUUGUAAACUUCUUUUAUACGGGAAUAAAGCCCACUACGUGUAGUGGUUUGUAUGUACCGUAUGAAUAAGCAUCGGCUAACUCCGUGCCAGCAGCCGCGGUAAUACGGAGGAUGCGAGCGUUAUCCGGAUUUAUUGGGUUUAAAGGGAGCGUAGACGGGAUGUUAAGUCAGUUGUGAAAGGCUGCGGCUCAACCGCAGCACUGCAGUUGAUACUGGUGUCCUUGAGUGCGGUUGAGGUGUAUCGAAUUCGUGGUGUAGCGGUGAAAUGCUUAGAUAUCACGAAGAACUCCGAUUGCGAAGGCAGUACACUAAGCCGCUACUGACGUUGAGGCUCGAAAGUGUGGGUAUCAAACAGGAUUAGAUACCCUGGUAGUCCACACGGUAAACGAUGAAUACUCGCUGUUGGCGAUAUACGGUCAGCGGCCAAGCGAAAGCAUUAAGUAUUCCACCUGGGGAGUACGCCGGCAACGGUG